AACGAACGCUGGCGGCAUGCCUAACACAUGCAAGUCGAACGAGAUCUUCGGGUCUAGUGGCGCACGGGUGCGUAACGCGUGGGAAUCUGCCCUUUGGUUCGGAAUCACAGUUGGAAACGACUGUUAACACCGGAUGAUGACUAAAGUCCAAAGAUUUAUCGCCAGAGGAUGAGCCCGCGUAGGAGUAGCUAGUUGGUGGGGUAAAGGCGCACCAAGGCGACGAUCCUUAGUUGGUCUGAGAGGAUGAUCAGCCACACUGGGACUGAGACACGGCCCAGACUCCUACGGGAGGCAGCAGUGGGGAAUAUUGGACAAUGGGCGAAAGCCUGAUCCAGCAAUGCCGGGUGAGUGAUGAAGGCCUUAGGGUUGUAAAGCUCUUUUACCCGGGAUGAUAAUGACAGUACCGGGAGAAUAAGCUCCGGCUAACUCCGUGCCAGCAGCCGCUGUAA
This 449-nucleotide ribosomal RNA is filed under the name uncultured bacterium. RNAcentral's name for it is "partial 16S ribosomal RNA". It matches the Rfam family "Bacterial small subunit ribosomal RNA", at positions 29 to 523 of the family's 1533-position model. The record is from RNAcentral.